Molecule: ribosomal RNA, 808 nt
Filed under: uncultured bacterium
Lineage: Bacteria
Description: bacterial SSU rRNA
Rfam family: Bacterial small subunit ribosomal RNA
Source: RNAcentral
AGAGUUUGAUCCUGGCUCAGGAACGAACUCUGGCGGCGCGUUUUAAGCAUGCAAGUCGAGCGGCAAGGGUACUUCGGUACCCCUAGAGCGGCGGACGGGUGAGUAACACGUGGAUAACCUGCCCCCGGGUGCGGGAUAGCCCAGGGAAACCUGUAUUAAUACCUCGUAAGACCACGCUCUGACGGGAGAGUGGGAAAAGGCGCUUCGGCGUCGCCUGGGGAUGGGUCCGCGUCCCAUUAGCUAGAUGGUAGGGUAAGAGCCUACCAUGGCGACGAUGGGUAGCCGGCCUGAGAGGGUGAACGGCCACACUGGAACUGAGACACGGUCCAGACUCCUACGGGAGGCAGCAGCUAAGAAUCUUCCGCAAUGGGCGCAAGCCUGACGGAGCGACGCCGCGUGGGCGAGGAAGGCCGCAAGGUUGUAAAGUCCUUUUCGGGAAGGGGAAUAAGAGUGAUAGGCAAUGAUCACUUGAUGACAUGAAUCCCGGAAUAAGCCCCGGCUAACUACGUGCCAGCAGCCGCGGUAACACGUAGGGGGCGAGCGUUGUUCGGAAUCAUUGGGCGUAAAGGGCGCGCAGGCGGCGUGUAAAGUCUGGCGUGGAAGUCCCCGGCUCAACUGGGGGAUUGCGUUGGAAACUGGCACGCUUGAGUACGACAGGGGAUGGCGGAAUUCCAGGUGUAGGGGUGAAAUCUGUAGAUAUCUGGAGGAACACCAAUGGCGAAGGCAGCCAUCUGGAUCAGUACUGACGCUGAGGCGCGAAGGUGCGGGGAGCAAACAGGUUUAGAUACCCUGGUAGUCCGCACAGUAA